UAUUACAGACUGGGUCAGGUUGAGACAUGUUGGUAUUACAGACUGGGUCAGGUUGAGACAUGUAGGUAUUACAGACUGGGUCAGGGUCAGGUUGAGACAUGUAGGUAUUACAGACUGGGUCAGGUUGAGACAUGUAGGUAUUACAGACUGG
Molecule: long non-coding RNA, 151 nt
Organism: Oncorhynchus keta (chum salmon)
Lineage: Eukaryota; Metazoa; Chordata; Actinopteri; Salmoniformes; Salmonidae
Exons: 3
Source: RefSeq, a predicted model, not a curated record